GAAAAUAUAAACAGAAAGCUGGAGAAACGAAAGAGAGAUGACAGAAACAGGCUUUGUAGAUUUGACAACAGCUUCAUUGGGGAUGAAGGUGAGAGAGAAGUUGUUCAGAAUGAAGUAUUGGGGCUUAUACGAAAGAAGCUAACCAUUCUCACACCGCAUGGAGAACUACCCACAGCUCUUGCUGCAGCAGUUUAUACAAGAGUGGAUGAAGUCCAUGCGGGAGAAUUCUUGGGGAUCAGUCAGCAUCUCUUACCAGAAUAUAUGCAAGAUAAGCGAUGCUUCGUUUUGGUUAGCCAAGGAGCUGAGAUAAUACGGUUGAAAAAAGACAGGUUUGAG
RNAcentral lists this long non-coding RNA (336 nucleotides) under Crocodylus porosus (Australian saltwater crocodile). RNAcentral's name for it is "lncRNA (ENSCPRG00005001478.1)". Lineage: Eukaryota; Metazoa; Chordata; Crocodylia; Crocodylidae. The record is from RNAcentral.